AAGUCGACCCCCUUGGGGAGUACCGGCCGCCAAGGUAAAACUCAAAUGAAUUGACGGGGGCCCGCACAAGCGGUGGAGCAUNUGGUUUAAUUCGAUGCAACGCGAAGAACCUUACCUACUCUUGACAUCCAGAGAAUUUAGCAGAGAUGCUUUGGUGCCUUCGGGAACUCUNAGACAGGUGCUGCAUGGCUGUCGUCAGCUCGUGUUGUGAAAUGUUGGGUUAAGUCCCGCAACGAGCGCAACCCUUAUCCUUUGUUGCCAGCGGUCCGGCCGGGAACUCAAAGGAGACUGCCAGUGAUAAACUGGAGGAAGGUGGGGAUGACGUCAAGUCAUCAUGGCCCUUACGAGUAGGGCUACACACGUGCUACAAUGGCGCAUACAAAGAGAAGCGACCUCGCGAGAGCAAGCGGACCUCAUAAAGUGCGUCGUAGUCCGGAUUGGAGUCUGCAACUCGACU
RNAcentral lists this ribosomal RNA (457 nucleotides) under Enterobacter sp. MCR1.23. Its description in RNAcentral is "bacterial SSU rRNA". It matches the Rfam family "Bacterial small subunit ribosomal RNA", at positions 862 to 1317 of the family's 1533-position model. The record is from RNAcentral. Lineage: Bacteria; Pseudomonadati; Pseudomonadota; Gammaproteobacteria; Enterobacterales; Enterobacteriaceae.